Molecule: ribosomal RNA, 383 nt
Filed under: Salmonella enterica subsp. enterica serovar Senftenberg
Lineage: Bacteria; Pseudomonadati; Pseudomonadota; Gammaproteobacteria; Enterobacterales; Enterobacteriaceae
Description: bacterial LSU rRNA
Rfam family: Bacterial large subunit ribosomal RNA
Source: RNAcentral
GGGUUGUGAGGUUAAGCGACUAAGCGUACACGGUGGAUGCCCUGGCAGUCAGAGGCGAUGAAGGACGUGCUAAUCUGCGAUAAGCGCCGGUAAGGUGAUAUGAACCGUUAUAACCGGCGAUUUCCGAAUGGGGAAACCCAGUGUGACUCGUCACACUAUCAUUAACUGAAUCCAUAGGUUAAUGAGGCGAACCGGGGGAACUGAAACAUCUAAGUACCCCGAGGAAAAGAAAUCAACCGAGAUUCCCCCAGUAGCGGCGAGCGAACGGGGAGGAGCCCAGAGCCUGAAUCAGCAUGUGUGUUAGUGGAAGCGUCUGGAAAGGCGCGCGAUACAGGGUGACAGCCCCGUACACAAAAGCGCAUGUGCUGUGAGCUCGAUGAGUA